UCUCCGUUGGUGAACCAGCGGAGGGAUCAUCACCGAGUGCAAACUCAUAACCCUUUGUGAACCUAUAUCUGUUGCUUCGGCGGCUCGCUCUCGGGCGAGCCCGCCGGUAAUAUCAGUAUCUCUGUUUGAACCCGACGAUACUUCUGAGUGUUCUUAGCGAACAGUUAAAACUUUUAACAACGGAUCUCUUGGCUCUA
Molecule: unclassified non-coding RNA, 197 nt
Filed under: plant metagenome
Description: partial contains small subunit ribosomal RNA, internal transcribed spacer 1, and 5.8S ribosomal RNA
Source: RNAcentral